Molecule: ribosomal RNA, 726 nt
Filed under: uncultured eukaryote
Lineage: Eukaryota
Description: SSU rRNA
Rfam family: Eukaryotic small subunit ribosomal RNA
Source: RNAcentral
UGAGUAACUGCGCUCCUGAUCUGUUGUACCGGUUUUCCAUGGUUUGCUUUAAUCGGCAGGCUGUGGUGGCUGGUGUGUUUACCUUGAAUAAAUCAAAAUGCUCAAGAUACGCGUCUCGCCAGAAUGACAGUGCAUGGAAUAAUAGAAGUAAGACUUCUGCUUAUCUGUUGGUCUCGGAACCGAUGUAAUGGUUUAGAGGGACUGACGGGGGGCAUUUGUAUCGAUGCGUGAGAGAUGAAAUUCUUGGACCGCAUCGAGACACACUACUGCGAAAGCAUUUGCCAAGAAUGUCUUCUUUUAAUCAAGAACGAAAGUCAGAGGAUCGAAGGCGAUUAGAUACCGCCCUAGUUCUGACCGUAAACGAUGCCAACUAGCGAUCAGGCGGUGGCUAUUAAACCCCGCCCGGGAGCUUCCCGGAAACGAAAGUCUUCGGGUUCCGGGGGUAGUAUGGUUGCAAAGCUGAAACUUAAAGGAAUUGACGGAAGGGCACCACCCGGAGUGGAGCCUGCGGCUUAAUUUGACUCAACACGGGAAAACUCACCCGGCCCGGACACUGUAAUGAUUGACAGAUUGAGAGUUCUUUCUUGAUUCGGUGGUUGGUGGUGCAUGGCCGUUCUUAGUUGGUGGAGUGAUUUGUCUGGUUUAUUCCGAUAACGAACGAGACUCUAACCUGCUAAAUAGUUUUGCAGUAGCUUCGCUGCAGCAACUUCUUAGAGGGAUCAGUGG